This 681-nucleotide long non-coding RNA is filed under the name Brachypodium distachyon (stiff brome). RNAcentral's name for it is "long non-coding RNA (BDIS_LNC003776)". Lineage: Eukaryota; Viridiplantae; Streptophyta; Magnoliopsida; Poales; Poaceae. The record is from RNAcentral.
UAUUAUCUUAUUUGCCCCUGUUUUUCUAGCUCAUGCUAAUAAGCCAGUCUCAUGGAAGUGCAAAGGAGGAGGAUCCAGGGAUGCAAUUGGCUUUGCACUCAUCCCACGUCUUAUAGCAAUCCCAACCUUUUGAACAACAGUAGCACUUAGUUUUCGUUGGGUCGCAGAUUGGGAUAUUGCUAGUAAAAAAACACCCAACUUGACCUUUAUGAUUCUUGUUUUCGCCGGUGCCCGCUUCUAUGUCUCUGCCUACAGGAUUAUAAAAAAAAAAAUGUCGUUACUGUUUGUACACAUGAUCACAUCACGAUAAAAUUAUAUCAUAUCUGGCUAGUAGGGGUAAGCAAUGAAUUGUGGGGAAAAACAAGGGAAGAAAGAGGGAAUAAAAGAAGAAAAUAUACUGUGUUCUAUGUCACUUACAUUGCCCAUGAAUAGCAGCAAAGCUUAGGAAGAGAAGAAUAAGCAGUAGUGGCUGGACGCUGUUCGUGCACUUCCCCAUGUAGGCGGUCGAUGAUGACUACAGUAUCACUCUUUGAGAAUAUCUUAGUUUUGCAUAUGCUUGGCCCAAUCGAUGUUUUGUGUUGAGAUUGGUAGGUGUAUAUGAGGAAGCCUGAAGGCUAUAGGCUGCAGGAAUUGAUUACCGCCUUGAAUAUGAUUAUUAUUUCUUCCAAAGUUAGGACACAC